This 992-nucleotide long non-coding RNA is filed under the name Brassica napus (rape). RNAcentral describes it as "long non-coding RNA (BNAP_LNC017488)". The record is from RNAcentral. Lineage: Eukaryota; Viridiplantae; Streptophyta; Magnoliopsida; Brassicales; Brassicaceae.
AUAAAAGUUCUGAAUAAAACAAGAAAGAGACAGCUCUCGUCACCAUCUUCGUACGUGCUCUUCCCAUAAGGCAUGAAAGGUCAUAUAAUGGUGCGACGUACUUUGGAGAAGGGCGAGAUCAUUAUGCCGUUUAAUCAUUAUGGUUAUAUAACGAUUAAAGCAUUCUUCCACUACACGGAUCGAUAAACCGAAAGAAGGAAGAACUACCAUGCUCCCGAGAGUGAUGAUGCCAUAAAUGUUACAACCGAACACUCGACGGAUCAAACACGUUCUUGUAUUUGAUCACACUGGAGUUAUGCUCACGAACUCGCCGAGCCCGAUAAUCAAAGCGGCGAACACUUUACUUCUUGAUCUCCAUCCAAUGGCAUGUCCAUCCAUGGAGGUAAUCGAUCUUUCUAUAGGACGAGACGACGAAGUCAACGUCUCGCUCAAGACGACAUCUAGCUCGAUACCGACGGAGCCAAUUCCUGCUCGAGACGACGAACCUGAUGUCUUACUCAAAAUCGAUAUAACCGGCAUCUCUUUCGAGAUGAUGAUAACCGAACUACGUUUGGACUUGAUCCCUUGACGGGUACGUAGGUAGCUCGAUCCCGAGUUCAGUCACGAUCCUUCUCAAUCCUGAUAUCUCUAUGAUAUCCGACCUGCGAAUAUAGUCCAUUUUCGCCGACUCAGACCUGAUUACAUCGUUAUGUUUUUAGGAUAUCGUUGCCCACGUUAUCUUCUUCCCCAGAUUAAACUCUCGAUCACUAUCAAAUACUUAGUGUGGAUUUUAGGAUCUACAUUUUGGCGCCGACUGUGGGGAAGAGAGACGAAAAACAUCAUUGCUAGGAACCCGAUCUAAGGCUUGUAAGCACAAAAAUGGAUCCAGCUUAUAGGUGUCCCGUACCGCAACAAACGAGCCAUCACACUGUAAUGAUAUUGAUCUCGUUAGAUCAGGAAACAAGAAAUGAAACAUGAGAUUUGAUUCCGACCUCAGCCAAAUCGAAGGCCAA